RNAcentral lists this long non-coding RNA (4443 nucleotides) under Fragaria vesca (wild strawberry). RNAcentral's name for it is "long non-coding RNA (FVES_LNC003571)". The record is from RNAcentral. Lineage: Eukaryota; Viridiplantae; Streptophyta; Magnoliopsida; Rosales; Rosaceae.
UCUCUCUCUCUCUCUCUCUCUCUCUCUCUCUCUCUGAGACAUGAAUCACAUCGCCAGCGAAGCACCAGCGCCACCGCCUGACCUAACAGCCACAUCUCCUCCAUCCCCGGCGCCGUUGCCGUUGUCUCUUUUGCCGCAGCCCAACCUUGUCGUCCCAUUCGCUGGCGCCGCCACCACCGCCUUCUCCCUCCUCUUCUUCCUCCUCGUCUGCUUCUGCAACAUCACCCGCAACCGCACAGCCCCGGAAGCCGACUCUAAGCCGCCUCACCGCUUCUCUUACUCCCUCUGACGCACCACCGACUCAUUCUCCCCCAUGCUCCUCUGAACUCGUCAACGUCUCUGUUUUUGAGUCUCCGGUCGUCUCCGGCGGUAUGCGCGGUCUCUUUCUCCUCCUCCAUUGUCGUCUCCCUAGCUCCUCGGUUUCCUACUCCGCCGCUCCUCUGAACUCGUCGACGUCGGGGCUAGCUAGGUUCGUGCUGAGAUCGAUGAUGGUGUUGCCGGGGCGCGCUCAGGGCUAGGGCUCGGCUGGAGUUCAAUCCGGGCUGGAUCGUUGGCUGGGGAAGGGCGUUGCUUGCCGGCGAUGGAGGAGGCCGAUGUGCUCAUCGUCAGGGAAGGUGGGUGCCUAGAGAAGAAACGUGGGUGCCCAGUUCAAGUCAGUUAGUUUUUUUUGUUUUUUUUGUUUUUUUGUUAUCCUCACAUUUGAAUAUUGGGGUCAGUAAGUGAUUACUGAUUAUUGAUAAGUGAUUAUUGGGGCCAGUAAGUUAUUAUUUGAGGUUUGUAACCUGAUUAUUGAGGGUCAGUAAAUGAUUAUUGGGUGAUUACUGGGUGUCAGUAAUUGAAAACAAAGUGAUUAUUGAAUGUCAGUAACUGAAAACUAAAAGUUGUUGGAGUUAAUAACUCGAUUAUUAAGGUCAAUAAUUCGAUUAUUUUCUGGUAAAUCUUUUUUUCUAUUACAUUAAGCUGAAAUAAGUUGAUUAUUGGGGGUCAAUAACUGAUUAUUAAAGGUUAGUAAAACGAUUAUUAGGGGUCAGUAACUGGUUAUUAGGGGUCAUUAACUUGUCAGUAACUGGUUAUUGGGGGUCAGUAACUAGUUACAGGGGAAAUUCCGGUGACCGGAGUCCAACGACUGGUGACCGGAGUCCGACGACCGGUGACGGGAGUCCCGCGGCCAGUACCGAAGUCCGACGGCCGAUGACCGGAGUCCCGUGAGAUUCCGGCCAAGUAUUCUCUCUUUCAUUUUCUCUCUCUCUCUCUCUCUAUGCAUGUUUAAGGGGUGAUGGCAAAAUAGUCUUAAAAUAAUAUGGUUUGUUAAGACUUUAGUAAAGAUUUGUGCAUUUGGGCAUAAAAAAGGUUACCUUAUAUUGAAAUGGGUUAAUGAAAAAGAUUGUCAUUGGAAUGGGAAAUAAGGGGUUUAAAUUAGUACUAAAUGGGCAUUUAAUCAUAUAACACAUAUGUAUCAAUAAUACGACCAUAAUUACGACUUUUUAGGGUUCUAAAACUCGGCCGCCCUGGCUGCUACGACGAUGCCUUGUAUGGAUUGAGCUUCCUUACAGUUAAAAAUAGUUUAAAGUUGUUUGAUGAGUCCAUAGUAAUCCGACAGGUUCUACUAUGCGGCCUAAUUACUAUAUAAUGAGGAAGACUACACUGCAUUACUGAAGGUAUUGUUAUUCAGUCGAAGAGCCGAUAAAUAUUUGUUCGAUGAUUUCUUGAUAUCGAUGAUCCUUAUGUUGGACGCUAAAGACUAGUUAUUAGAGGAAAGGAAAAUGCCCAUUUAGCACUAAUUUAAACCCCUUAUUCCCCAUUCCAAUGACAAUCUUUUUCAUUAGCCCAUUCCAAUAUAAGGUAACAUUUUUUUAUGUCCAAAUACACAAAUAUUUACUUAAGUCUUAACAAAUUAUAUUAUUUUAAAACUAUUUUGCCCUCACCCUUUAAACAUGCAUAGAGAGAGAAAAUGGAAGAGAGAAUAUUUGGCCGGAAUCUCACCAGCCGCUGGACUCCGAUCACCGGACACCGGCCGUCGGACUCCGGUCACCGGCCGCCGGAUUCUAGUCACCGGUGACUCGGUAAAUGACCCUCAAUAACUUGGUAAAUGACCCUCAAUAACUUGGUUACUGACCCCUAAUAAUCAGUUACUGACCCCAAAUCCCAAUAACUUGGUUACUGACUCAAUAAUCAGUUACUGACCCCUAAUAAUCGGGUUACUGACCCCUAUAACUUGGUUACUGACUCUAAUAACUUGGUUACUGACCCCCAAUAAUCAGUUACUGACCCUCAAUAAUCGGGUUACUGGCCCUAAUCAUUUGGUUACUGACCUUCAAUAAUCAGUUAUUGACCCCAAUAAUCAGAUUACUAACCCCAAUAAUCAGGUUACUGAUCCAAUAAUAGUUGGCCGAAAUUACUGGGGGGAAUAAGAUAUUACUGAGGUAGUAAAGAAUAUUAGAAAAGAAGUUUUUACAAGUGAAGGUGAAGGCUUCUUCUUCACCUUCGCAAACAAAACCAAACCAUGGCUUAAUCACAGAAACGAUUAUGACCACACAGAGAAACGAUUUGACCACACAUAUUCUGCCAUACAAAAGAUUAAAGCCCACACAGAGAAAAUACUAAAAAGAUUAAAGUCUGUGCCACUCUAACCAUACAAAAGCCUUCAACAAACACACUAUUCCAUGGCUUAAGGUCCACGGUUGAGAAUCUCUUUCACCUUGGAAUCAUCAUCCAUAUCAAUCACAAAUAUAGGGGGGCACACCACCGCACAAAACGUAAUCUUCUGGUUCAUCUCUCGUCCGAGCUUUUGGUCACCAUCGGCGGAAAAUCCUUCAAACACUAGGCAUGUAGAUCUAGACCACGACGAGCUGACAAGCAUCAGAAAUCUAUACAGAAAGAGAACACUAGCCUUCAUCUGAGCACGUCGUCCUUUUUCCCAUAAUUCUUCUUCUGUCUGAGCACGUCUUCCCCACCGACGGCGUGGUAGAGGCGACGAAGCCAGGAAGGAACCAUGACUCAGGCUUCUUGAGAACCCGAUGAGAGAGAGAGAGAGAGAGAGAGAGAGAGAGAGAGAGAGAGAGAGAGAGAGAGAGAGAGAGAGAGAGAGAGAGAGAGAGAGAGAGAGAGAGAGAGAGAGAGAGAGAGAGAGAGAGAGAGAGAGAGAGAGUANNNNNNNNNNNNNNNNNNNNGAGAGAGAGAGAGAUGAAAACCAGAUCGGGAAGAGAGCAUAAGAGAAGGAGAUGAGAUUUGUGUGGCUUUAAUUACACAGGGUAAUAUCGUAUUUUUGUUAAAAAUCAUUGGAAUGGGCACAAAGAAAAAAUUAUCAUUGAAAUAGGGUUUGUUUUACCUAUUUUUGGGUAUUUGGGCAUUUUCCCUUAGAGGAAUAGAAGGUUGCAUGAACUUCAGACUACGUGAAGUGUUAAAGCUUCGAAAUCCAUAAGGAAUUCAUGACGUUCUCAGUUUUUUCUAGGGCUGGGCAUCCGAAACCGGUCCCGAUCCCUUCCCUAAAAUUCACGGGACGAGACAGGAAUUCGUUUCGAAUAUUGAAGGCCCGGCCCGGCCCGUCCCGUUUUGAAAAAAAGGGUUCGAGGUCGGGCCUUGUUAGCUGGAUCUCGUUUAGGCCCGGCCCGUCCCGAAUUAAAAAAAAAACUUAAUUCUGUGAUUUAAUCUACACCGUCUGAUUGAUCUGUGUGGUAAGACUUAACCCACUUAACCCUCUCUCAACACCCACUAGUCCACUACUGUUCUCCUUCUCCUUCAUCCGCCCUCUCUCUAUUUUUCUCUGUCUUCUUUGAUCUCUUGAGUUAUCUUUCCCUUCUUCCUCUUUUAGUUUAAGGUAAAAUUCUGUAAAGUCCCUAUAAUUUAGGUGGUUCAUCUGUUUAGUCCUUGAACUUACAAUUGUUAAUCUGGUUAGUCCUUUUCAUUAUUUCUGAUGGAAUAUUCUGUCAGAAAAGAGAAUAUUCUGUUUUUCUAUAAUAUUUUUGUUUAAAAGAAAAAUGAACGGAGCAUGGUGGGCCUUGGAUUCUGAAUUUGUUUAACAUUUUGCAAAUAUUAAAUCUAUCCUUCUACUCAAAGGUAAACAGUUAAUUUUUUAUUACCAAUAGGAGAAUCUAUUGCUACUCGACUUGAUUUAUUAUCAGAAGCUAAACUGUCUUAUAAAGAAUUACAAGAAGAAAGAAGAAAUUUUAGAAAAUUAAAAGAAAGAAGAGAUAAGCUUCCAAGAAAUACCAAAAAUUACUAGGAUAUUAUUUUCCAGUUGCAACGAAGGAUAUAUGAGUCAAGAGAGGAAAUUGAAGUCCUUCAAGAAACAUUUGAACAAGAUCAAAACCCUAUUGAUAUUUUGAGCAUCGGUUAGAUCCGCCCUAGCUGGUAUCAGAGCCUGUUUGGCUCAAAAGCAGGUGACAAAAGGCUUAUGCCACAAAGUUGGCUUCUCUUGACUAAUAAAAGAGAAUCCAAAUUAAA